ACACGGGGAGGCGGCUGAGGCCCAGCAAGAAUUCAAGCUCCGCGGGGGCAGGCCAGCAGUGCUGGGGGACCCGGCGCACCCUCCGCAGCUGCUGGCCCGGGUGCUAAACCCCUCACUGCCCGGGCCGGCGGUGCCGGCGGGCUGCUCUCAGUGCGGGACCUCGGAGCCUGCGCCCACCCGGAACUAGCCGCGUUCAGCCCUGGUUCCCGCCCCCGCCUCUCCCGCCACACCUCUCCACAAGCAGAGGGAGCUGGCUUCAGCCUCAGCCAGCACAGAGAGGGGCCCCCAUAGCGCAGUGGCGGGCUGAAGGGCUCCUUGAGCAUGGCCAGAGUGGACGCCAAGGCUGAGGAGGCGCCGAGAGCCAGUGAGGGCUGCUAGCAUGUUGUCACCUCUCAAUACAUAAAACUACUGGAGGGUGGUUCCAAGAUGGCCAAAUAGGAACAGCUCCAGUCUACAGCUCCCAGCAUGAGUGAUGCAGAAGACGAAUGAUUUCUGCAUUUCCAACUCAGUAGAGAGCUGACUUUAGAGGGAUCAAGAAUAGCUUGCUGGAUGGAAGGAGCUUGGGGCCAGUCAUCAUCUUAAAGGCUCUGUGGCAGCUUGGACUUGAAGUAGGGUGCACCCGGAAUUGACCAAUACAAACAGUGGACUGCACUGGAUUCUUCUUGUGCCCUGUCUCAUAUCCUCUUGUCCCACCUUUUCAUAACAGCCAUUGCCAUGGGAACCAGCUGCAUCCAGAUCACAUCCAGGGGCCAAAACCAGUUCUGUGAGCCACUGGAUGAAGACAUUGACCAACUAGAAAGCAUCUGCAGAGGUCAAGUAGGACCAUGGGAGAUCCAGAUUCCAUUUAAACAAGAAUGCCUUAAAGAAGUGGGAAUAUUUAGCCUGAGUGAGAGAAAAUGCUCUUACUCUGUGUGUGAUCAGAGGAGGAGAAAGGAGGACAAAGUUACAUCAAUGUGAUCAGCAACCAUUUGAUAGAGCUACUGUGCUCAAGAGGGGACAGUUUGAUUUAUACGUUUGACAAGGUGGAGCCAGGAUCAAUGAGUGAACAUUAAAGGAAAGAAUAUUUGGGCUCAAUAUUUGGGCUCAAUAUUUUGGGCUCAAUAAUUUGGGCUCAAUAAGGAGGACUUUCCCAAUAAUUACAACGUUCCAAACUUGAAAUGGGGUGUCUCAAAAAGGAGUGAGUGCCCUGUUACUGAAAACAUUUAGGUUAGGGCUAAAUAGCCAUCAAUUAGGGUGAUAUAAUGAGAUUCCUGUGACUGUUCCAACAAGCAUCUGGUGUGCACCAGUCAUGUAGAUUCUAAGAGACACUGAGAGCAAAGAGAAACACUUCCUCCCUCAAAGAGCUCAGGGUUUCAAGAGACUGACAUGUAAACAAACUGAUAAUAAUGGCAAUUUGGUAUAACAUAUGCAAUUUGGAGUAACGUGUGCAAAGGAACAUGGGCCAAAUUUUAACUACUAGAGAGAGAAAAGCUGAUGCUCUGCUAGGGGUAGGAGGAGGCUGAGAAUGAAACUAGAGAGGAUUUUAGGGAGAAGGUAAUGUUGAGCAGAUUUGAAGGAUAUGUAGGAGUUUUUUGUGGACACUAUUGUUCAAUUAAUGCUGGUCAAUAAGGAGAACACUCAGGAUAAGUGGGGCAGGGGUUGGGGGUUGCAAAAGACAUGGAGGUAGAAACAGCAUGGCUUAUCAAGGACCCAACUGGUUUGAAAGAUCUUCAGCAUAAGGUGGUGGGAAAGGGAAGAGAGGGGAAGUGGCAGGAGAUCAAGAAGAUGGGAGAGCAAGAAAGAGAAUGCCUUUGAUCUUGAACAGAAGGGCUUCCCUCAUGGAGAUGAGAGGAAAUGCAUAGCAAUGUGGAGAGAGUAAGGGCUGGUCAGUAAGAUUAACAUGGCUGGUGACAACAUAUUUCUCAGUGAAUAACUGAUCAACAUAAGACGAAUGAAGUUGUGUAGGGGUCUCAUGGAGACUGUCCUAAAGACUUAGCAUAAUUGUGGGCAAUGUGAAGGAAAGGCAAAAUAAUUGAUAGAUAGCAUCAAGUACCGAAAGGGAAAAUAUUAAAAUUUGUAGCGUCAGUCCACACAGGCCUCUGAUUUUCUUUAAGAGCACUCAGAUGUGUAGGGGGUCAGAGGAGAUGGGCUCUAAGGUCUUUUCUAAGUUCAAGAUUCCCAAACUCCAUGCCUUGCCAUUAUUCCCUCUUGGGCAUAUGGGAUAUUUUGUAAUGGCUUUUAAAAAAUAUAUACCAUAUAAUUGCCAAGGAAAAUUGUCUAAUUAAAUGAUUUUUAGUAUAUUCACAGAAUUGUGUUAGUAUCAUCCUAAUCAAUUUUGGAAAAUUACUCCCAAAAAAAAUCCUGUACAGGCAUACCUCAAUUUAUUGUGCUUCACUUUACCGUGUUUCACAGAUACUGCGUUUUUUUCCAAAUUGAAGGUUUGUGGCAACCCAGUGUUGAGCAAGUCUAUUGGUGCCAUUUUGCUAAUAGUAUGUGCUCACUUCGUGUCUCUGUCACGUUUUGGUAAUUCUUGCAAUAUUUCUAACAUUUUCAUUAUUGUUAUGUUAUGGUGUUGUGAUCAGUGAUCUUUGAUAUUGUUAUUGUGAUUGUUUUGGGACA
This is a long non-coding RNA of Homo sapiens (human), 2598 nucleotides long. Lineage: Eukaryota; Metazoa; Chordata; Mammalia; Primates; Hominidae. The record is from Ensembl.